RNAcentral lists this ribosomal RNA (253 nucleotides) under uncultured prokaryote. RNAcentral describes it as "partial 16S ribosomal RNA". It matches the Rfam family "Bacterial small subunit ribosomal RNA", at positions 524 to 776 of the family's 1533-position model. The record is from RNAcentral.
UACAGAGGGUGCAAGCGUUGUCCGGAAUUACUGGGCGUAAAGGGCGCGUAGGCGGCCCGAUAAGUAGGGGGUGAAAUUUCGUGGCUCAACCACGAAACUGCCUUCUAGACUGUCAGGCUUGAGCACGGUAGAGGCAGAUGGAAUUCCCGGUGUAGCGGUGGAAUGCGUAGAGAUCGGGAAGAACACCAGUGGCGAAGGCGGUCUGCUGGGCCGUUGCUGACGCUGAUGCGCGACAGCGUGGGGAGCAAACAGG